AAUGGGGGAAACCCUGACGCAGCCACGCCACGUGAGUGAGGAAGGCCUUCGGGUUGUAAAGCUCUGUCAGUAGGGAAAAAUGCUCGCAAGAGAGUUGAUGGUACCUACAAAGGAAGCACCAGCUAACUUCGUGCCAGCAGCCGCGGUAAUACGAAGGGUGCAAGCGUUGUUCGGAUUUAUUGGGCGUAAAGCGUACGUAGGCGGUUUUGUAAGUCAGGUGUGAAAUCUUGGGGCUCAACCCCGAAACUGCGCCUGAAACUACAUAACUAGAAUCUUGGAGGGGAAGGUAGAAUUUCGCAUGUAGGGGCAAAAUCCGUAGAGAUGCGAAGGAACACCAGAGGCGAAGGCGACCUUCUGGACAAGUAUUGACGCUGAGGUACGAAAGCGUGGGGAGCAAACAGGAUU
This 405-nucleotide ribosomal RNA is filed under the name uncultured delta proteobacterium. RNAcentral's name for it is "bacterial SSU rRNA". It matches the Rfam family "Bacterial small subunit ribosomal RNA", at positions 370 to 779 of the family's 1533-position model. Lineage: Bacteria; Deltaproteobacteria. The record is from RNAcentral.